GACGAACGCUGGCGGCGUGCUUAACACAUGCCAGUCGAACGGAAAGGCCCUGCUUUUGUGGGGUGCUCGUGUGGCGAACGGGUGAGUAACACAUGAGUAACCUGCCCUUGACUUUGGGAUAACUUCAGGAAACUGGGGCUAAUACCGGAUAGGAGCUCCUGCUGCAUGGUGGGCGUUGGAAAGUUUCGGCGGUUGGGGAUGGACUGGCGGCUUAUCAGCUUCUUGGUGAGGUAGUGGCUUACCAAGGCUUUGACGGGUAGCCGGCCUGAGAGGGUGACCGGCCACAAUGCGACUGAGAUACGGCCCAGACGGGUACGGUCGGCAGCAGUGGAGAGUAUUGCACAGUGGGCGGAAGCGUGAGGCAGCGACGCCGCGUGCGGGAUGACGGCCUUCGGGUUGUAAACCACUUUCGCCGGUGACGAGGCGUGAGUGACGGUAAUGGGUAAAGAAGCACCGGCUAACUACGUG
Molecule: ribosomal RNA, 468 nt
Filed under: uncultured bacterium
Lineage: Bacteria
Description: partial 16S ribosomal RNA
Rfam family: Bacterial small subunit ribosomal RNA
Source: RNAcentral